UGCGUAGGCGGAAUAAUAAGUCAGCGGUGAAAUCCUGCAGCUUAACUGUAGAAUUGCCAUUGAUACUGUUAUUCUUGAGUAUAGUUGAGGUGGGCGGAAUGUAUAAUGUAGCGGUGAAAUGCUUAGAUAUUAUACAGAACACCUAUUGCGAAGGCAGCUCACUAAACUAUAACUGACGCUGAUGCACGAAAGCGUGGGGAGCGAACAGGAUUAGAUACCCUGGUAGUCC
RNAcentral lists this ribosomal RNA (229 nucleotides) under uncultured bacterium. RNAcentral describes it as "partial 16S ribosomal RNA". It matches the Rfam family "Bacterial small subunit ribosomal RNA", at positions 568 to 796 of the family's 1533-position model. The record is from RNAcentral.